Molecule: ribosomal RNA, 1489 nt
Filed under: Lactiplantibacillus plantarum
Lineage: Bacteria; Bacillati; Bacillota; Bacilli; Lactobacillales; Lactobacillaceae
Description: bacterial SSU rRNA
Rfam family: Bacterial small subunit ribosomal RNA
Source: RNAcentral
GACGAACGCUGGCGGCGUGCCUAAUACAUGCAAGUCGAACGAACUCUGGUAUUGAUUGGUGCUUGCAUCAUGAUUUACAUUUGAGUGAGUGGCGAACUGGUGAGUAACACGUGGGAAACCUGCCCAGAAGCGGGGGAUAACACCUGGAAACAGAUGCUAAUACCGCAUAACAACUUGGACCGCAUGGUCCGAGUUUGAAAGAUGGCUUCGGCUAUCACUUUUGGAUGGUCCCGCGGCGUAUUAGCUAGAUGGUGGGGUAACGGCUCACCAUGGCAAUGAUACGUAGCCGACCUGAGAGGGUAAUCGGCCACAUUGGGACUGAGACACGGCCCAAACUCCUACGGGAGGCAGCAGUAGGGAAUCUUCCACAAUGGACGAAAGUCUGAUGGAGCAACGCCGCGUGAGUGAAGAAGGGUUUCGGCUCGUAAAACUCUGUUGUUAAAGAAGAACAUAUCUGAGAGUAACUGUUCAGGUAUUGACGGUAUUUAACCAGAAAGCCACGGCUAACUACGUGCCAGCAGCCGCGGUAAUACGUAGGUGGCAAGCGUUGUCCGGAUUUAUUGGGCGUAAAGCGAGCGCAGGCGGUUUUUUAAGUCUGAUGUGAAAGCCUUCGGCUCAACCGAAGAAGUGCAUCGGAAACUGGGAAACUUGAGUGCAGAAGAGGACAGUGGAACUCCAUGUGUAGCGGUGAAAUGCGUAGAUAUAUGGAAGAACACCAGUGGCGAAGGCGGCUGUCUGGUCUGUAACUGACGCUGAGGCUCGAAAGUAUGGGUAGCGAACAGGAUUAGAUACCCUGGUAGUCCAUACCGUAAACGAUGAAUGCUAAGUGUUGGAGGGUUUCCGCCCUUCAGUGCUGCAGCUAACGCAUUAAGCAUUCCGCCUGGGGAGUACGGCCGCAAGGCUGAAACUCAAAGGAAUUGACGGGGGCCCGCACAAGCGGUGGAGCAUGUGGUUUAAUUCGAAGCUACGCGAAGAACCUUACCAGGUCUUGACAUACUAUGCAAAUCUAAGAGAUUAGACGUUCCCUUCGGGGACAUGGAUACAGGUGGUGCAUGGUUGUCGUCAGCUCGUGUCGUGAGAUGUUGGGUUAAGUCCCGCAACGAGCGCAACCCUUAUUAUCAGUUGCCAGCAUUAAGUUGGGCACUCUGGUGAGACUGCCGGUGACAAACCGGAGGAAGGUGGGGAUGACGUCAAAUCAUCAUGCCCCUUAUGACCUGGGCUACACACGUGCUACAAUGGAUGGUACAACGAGUUGCGAACUCGCGAGAGUAAGCUAAUCUCUUAAAGCCAUUCUCAGUUCGGAUUGUAGGCUGCAACUCGCCUACAUGAAGUCGGAAUCGCUAGUAAUCGCGGAUCAGCAUGCCGCGGUGAAUACGUUCCCGGGCCUUGUACACACCGCCCGUCACACCAUGAGAGUUUGUAACACCCAAAGUCGGUGGGGUAACCUUUUAGGAACCAGCCGCCUAAGGUGGGACAGAUGAUUAGGGUG